AGUGAACGCUGGCGGUAGGCCUAACACAUGCAAGUCGAACGGCAGCACAGUAAGAGCUUGCUCUUACGGGUGGCGAGUGGCGGACGGGUGAGGAAUACAUCGGAAUCUACUUUUUCGUGGGGGAUAACGUAGGGAAACUUACGCUAAUACCGCAUACGACCUACGGGUGAAAGCAGGGGAUCUUCGGACCUUGCGCGAUUGAAUGAGCCGAUGUCGGAUUAGCUAGUUGGCGGGGUAAAGGCCCACCAAGGCGACGAUCCGUAGCUGGUCUGAGAGGGUGAUCAGCCACACUGGAACUGAGAAACGGUCCAGACUCAUACGGGAGGCAGCGGUGGGGAAUAUUGGACAAUGGGCGCAAGCCUGAUCCAGCCAUACCGCGUGGAUGAAGAAGGCCUUCGGGUUGUAAAGCCCUUUUGUUGGGAAAGAAAAGCAGCAGGUUAAUACCCCGCUGUUCUGACGGAACCCAAAGAAUAAGCACCGGCUAACUUCGUG
This 492-nucleotide ribosomal RNA is filed under the name uncultured bacterium. RNAcentral describes it as "partial 16S ribosomal RNA". It matches the Rfam family "Bacterial small subunit ribosomal RNA", at positions 29 to 507 of the family's 1533-position model. The record is from RNAcentral.